Mercenaria mercenaria is the source of this 12109-nucleotide long non-coding RNA. RefSeq lists it as uncharacterized. The transcript has 8 exons. NCBI's taxonomy places the organism in Eukaryota, Metazoa, Mollusca, Bivalvia, Venerida, Veneridae. The record is from RefSeq and is a predicted model, not a curated record.
AAUACAAUAGUUCCGCGCUCAGCCCUCGAUAUGCCAUGAACUUUUUGACUUAGCUAUGCGAAUUUCUGUUUAUGUAAAUAAUUCAGAAGUAUUUAUAUAGAACAGAACAGAACAGAACAGUAAUUUAUUGAUAUAACUUGAACAUGUCCAGUUCAUUGCUAUAAGAACAAAAUAUACUAAAACAUACAUAGCAAUGCGAGAGUGAACAAAACAAAAGAACAUUCAGUUAAAAUUCAUUCAGUAUUGUUUGCAAUGUGACUUUUAUAGAUGCCGUUAAAAGGGGAAAAAGCUGUGUAUAUGUUUCUUAUACUAAUACUGUUUAUUUAUAAUCAUUUUAUUGUAAUUAAUUUAACCAGAAUUAAUACGAAGGACAUAUAAAAUAUUUAUACAUGUAGUAUAGAAAUUCAUUUUGUUCAGAAUAUAGAAGAGAAAAAUGGCAUACAUGUAUAUACCAAAAAAAAAAGGAAGCUGUUUUAUAUUUAAAAAACGUAUGAACAGAAGAGCUGUUAACCCCAAGAUCAAAGGCAAUCAGAGUUCCUGACAGUAACAGAUUAUUAUUGACAUAGAGUUCUUGCCCCGAGGGUUAUGCAGGGCAAAUAUCCAAUGACAUCAACAAGGUGAAAUAACCAGUCAAUUGGAAGAAUCAUGGAGAGGUUGUGCUUAAUUCAUACACCAUACUUGAGUUAAUGGACCGUUUUCUUUCCGCAUAUUUUGUAAAUUUUCCUAAAAAAGCUACAUUGUUUUAUAUCCUGUAAUUUUUAAAAGAAACUCAGAAAAAUGUUUCCUUACUGUAAUUUGUGCGGUAUAAAAAGGAAUGAAAAACAUCUCUUCAACUGAAAUUAUAAUUUUAAAUAUUGUCACACUGUUAUGACACUGUUCACAAGUAACUGUUAUAUGUUCAAACAAUUUCCAAAUUUUAUGUAAAAUGCCAAAACUGAAAAUUGCGAGAAUGACGUCCGACACUAUUGUAAACAAACGAUAUUUUGUGCGAGGGAUACAUGUGACGGCUGAAGCAACUUCGAAAUUAAAAUGUGCUGAUUUUAACAGCAGAACGAAAGUACCAAAACAUUGAAAAGCUUCAUAUAGGAGGUCAUACGUUUUGAUAUUUUCUGUGUAAUGAAUUUGACGCCAUGUUAUUAUACAAUGAAUAAUUUAGAAUAUAAACAUGUAUUUUUGUUGAUGAGUUUCGGAAAUGAGCACAUUCUCUUGAGUAUUUUAUUCAAAUUCGUAUGCGAAAAAAGGCCCGAGUUUACUGCAUAUUUCAUUUUACUGCUUGUAGUUGAAAUGUUUGAUAAUGCAUGUUCAUGACCUAGCCUAUCCUCCGAUGCAACAUUUGCCAUGCCAUUUCGACAAAAAUGUCAAGGACUGCCUUUACCAUAGCGCAUGAUAUUUGUGCAUUCUAAUUGUUUGAUUUGCCGCACUGAAGGAGGUAAACCAACACUUGAUAGGCUAGUCUUUUCAAAAUUAUUAUUGAAAAAUAUAAUACUUCAUCAACGACUAUUUGCUCUGUUUGAACUAUUUAAAGUAUAUAAAUAUUCAAGUACUUGUGAGACGACUGAUUUGGGAGAGGACCGUACUCAAAUGCAACUGCACGUAACGCCUAGCGAUCAAGUCCGUUAAUAAUACUUCAGUGUGUAUGUGCAUUUAUGAAUCAAGAACGAGCUUCUUGACAAAAGAGAGGUGCGUUUAAAGGAAGUUAGUUUAGAAAUUUUUUUUUAAAAGUUUUUAGUCAAAAAGUAGUUCUUUUUGCCUUAAAAUGACUAUUCUCAAAGUGUAAAACGCGGAUAUAUUUACUUAACAUACACUCACCUCAGUGCGAAUAGUGUAUAACGGCUUCUUCAUGAUCAAUGCAGAUAUUCUCUUUUUAGCAUUUGGUGGCGAUAUAUGCAACCAGAUGACUUAACUAAGUUAUUGCUCAUCAAACAGUUGCAUUUAACAAUAAGGGAAUACAUGAUAAUGUUAGCGAUCUACCCAAGUGCUUAACCUGUCUAGAAAUGGUGAGAAUGAAAGGUGAUGCAAUGAUAAUCCUUGAAUCAAGAUGUCUGGUAUAUAAAGUAAACAUUACGAGGCUUUGACAGUAAACAGCUGCAUUAUGCAUGAAGUGCAUGCUUUCAGUAUACAAGAACGUAAUAUAGACACAAGUGUUUGUUCAAAAUAUACAAACGCAGCUGCGUAUACUAACAAAGGAUUAGAAAAAACAUUACUACAGACAUGUUUAUUGUUCUACAUAGAUCCAACUUUCUUUUAUGUAUGUUAGCUUUUUCCAGACAAUGAUAAGUGCUUAUCAUAGUCUUUUAUAUCAUUUCUGAUAUUUCAAAGCAAUUGAAACAUUCUUUGCAGAAAGAUUAAAUUAAUAGUGUUUUUGGUAAAUGUUUUUGUUAAUUGUAUGUGCUUUUUGGUAAUAUAUAACUUCAGACUGGAAGAUGCAUUUUUAUCGAUAAAACAAGGGAAUAAUAUAUAAAAUGUAUGUUUGGACAAUGUCUGUAUACUUGUAAUAAAUGCUACAUGGAUACACUACAUAUAUAUUACGCUAGAUAACCACUCUGUUCCAUAAAGACGUUGUGUGACAAAACUGUAACAGUAUCUGUCCGACAACUUUCAAGCGAUUCUUAUGGGAAGGAAUCACUUCACCAGGCUGCUGAUAGGCCAUUUACUGCGGAUUAGCCAUCGUUACACGGUCUACUGUACUGAUUAAGGGAUUUGUUGGAGUUUGCCGUCCUUGUUAAUUACCAAUAGCAAAAUAUCCAAAUAAAUUUUGGCCGCUAUUUUGAUGCUAUCACCUGCUUAAAAUGAAUAUAAUCACACGUAAGCUUGAUCAUCACUAGCACAACUAAUUGAAGGGUUUAUCUAAUUAACUUAAAACUAGAACAACAGAAAAAAUAAUGUUCAUCAAACCAACAAAUCCAUAUACUCACCUGUAAUAGUUAAAACAACAAUUGGAAACUUACCACGUAAACAGUGGUUUUUAGGAAGAUUUAUUUUUAAAAGGUGUAUUCAACUGAUGUAAUUAUGCUAAAUUAAUAGAAGGACGUUUGGUAAACGCUGCGCAACAUGGACACAAUUUUUACUAAAAAAUUGUUAUGUCACAUCUGUUUUCAAAUAUAACAUCAGUUUCAGAGUAAAAUUCAGAAGUUUUUGAAAGCAGGAUAUUUACGUUUGAAGUUUCUGUUAGUGGUUUGUCUUCUUUGCGAUGUUUGGCUUUGGCUGAAUCUGCUGUGCUCAAUAUUUCCAGGAAGUCUACAGUUAACUUGUAAGUUUUUAAGGAAAACAACCUGUUUAUAGAUUGAGAACUUUGAUGACGCAGUUAACUACAUAUGUAGUGGCUACUUGAAGUUUUUUAUUAAGCUGCCGAAAUGCUUAAACAGCCGAUGAAGAAAAUGCCCUUUUAAUAUUCUUCAAGCUCACAUAGUAUGAAAAAAAUUUAACGGUAGAAAAAAGUUGAUCCUACAUCCUUCUAAACGUUUUACAGGUCCCAAACUGCCUAUCUUCAUCAGUCUGAUGAGUACAUUGAAGAACGACAACUCUGUAGCAGAGAAUGGAGAGUGCGAGGAGCUGCAAGUACGAGUCGACUACUAGAGCUUUCUGAGUAUCAGACCAAAAAUUAAGAUGUUAGAUGCAAACAGUAAAAAGUUUGGCCUGGAUGUCGGACGGCAAUGGGAAACGAUUUUAGAAAAUUCAGACAGCCGGAGAAGUUAUCCCCAUCUGCUCCACGCCACACCACAUGUCCAGAGGGCUGGUAAUUUAAGACUACCCUACCAUGCCAUAGACAGAAGAUGCACAUGGGAUGACUGCCGUGUACAUGAAACAGUCUCGUUGAGUAUUUUAAACAAUAUAUUUAAAGAGAACGCGAGGUGAUAUGGAAAGAUAAAAGUGCUGCAACGGCUAAGCCGUUCCCCGUGAUUUCCAACACUUGAAGCAGCCUUUCAGAAGCCAACUGAUAGAAAGCACAAAACAGUAUACUUAUGUAUUACUUGAAAACAUGACAUACGAAUUUUACUCCUGUGAAAAUGAAUGGACUUCAGUCAUAACAUGCCGAAUCUCAAUGUGGAUGAAACAAAUGUUGACAUAGCUCCAGAUAACUUGCUAACGUAUUGUUGAAGCUCGGCGACUCUAAUAAAGCCAACAGACUGUGCGAGGAGCUCAGGACUAGUGACGCUUAUAUUGAAGAUGGAACAACGAGUCUAUUCUGUGAGUAAAUCUGGAUAUGCUUGAUUAUGCAGAAUAGGUAACAUCAGUAACAUCAGAUGAAGCAUAAACAGUGAUUGAAAUUUUAUAACGCGUUGUUGAGUGGUAUUCAAGAACCGCUGGCUUGCAUUUUACCUUCCGUCCGUCGUAGCAUCCAGGUAUUGAAGGAGCUACGUUGCCGUAGAGUACAGUACUAAAUAUAGACCACACAGGUACAAGGCUCUACUGGAUAAUUUCCAAGCCCAUAUAAGGGAUAUGAUAGAAAAACACGGACAACCCUACUGCAGGGAAUAUAUACAUAGACACAAUGAAAAAUACACAACAGUGUCAAAAUAGACACAUCAUGGACCUCAGUGGGGCACCGCCAUAGAACUGUCAGUGGCAAAAACAACAGUGGGAAUCCUACACCUGCGCACAAAAACUUAACUGACUCUUUAUACCUGUUAUGUUCCAAAGUUACAGGACAGUGUAAUAGAACUUUUCACAUCCAAACGAAUCCAUCACACACGUACUUUACGAAAUUUGCAUGUUAGAUCAAAUGACAACAUGAUACUAGUUGUACCAAAGACUCGAACCGUGAUGUAUAACAAGAGCUUCGGGCACACAGCUCCCAAACUACAGAGCUCUCUCCUUGCCGAUACACAUCUUCUAACCUUAUAUCUGACAGUGUCUAUGCAUGAAAUAUCUUUAUGCACAAAACCAGACCUAAAGGAGGAAUAGAAUUCUUCUUAAGCCAGUGCUACGCGUGUCAUGGAUGUUGCAUUUUUCAUUACCACUAAUUAACAGACUCAGUCAAACGGUUGGUUGCGCUCUAUGCUUCCAAAAGAUCUUCUUAUAAAUUUUAUAGAUCUAUCUAGAAAAGAAAAACAAAGUUAAAGAAAUUUUAAUGUUCUCUUGAUAAGUCUACAUUCUGUUUUUAAAAUAUUUUCUCAGUUCAAAAAAAAAGAAGAAAAUCAUUUAAAGAACGCACUGCAAUUUAUCUGCGUAUUCUUUGCUAUUAAAAUGCAGAAUAGUCCUAUUGUUUUGUUGACCACAUCAAAGGCAGUGUAAUAUAUACAUAUUAUGCUGAAAUAGAAUAAAAUUAUUUAAAUGUUCCUAUUAAAAUAUUUGAUUGACAUGGACAUAAAUGAAUAAUCGCAGAUAACCCCUUUAAAUCACUGUAGAGACACGUAUUUCUGAUCGUAAAUUUCUCUUUUUUUCAGGUAAAAGUAUUGGCAUAACGUCGAAGCAUACUUCGAUUGUUAACUAGUAUCAAACGAACGUGAUACACUUGAUUUUGCUGCAAAUUUGGAUGUUUUUAUUUCAGUGUAUAUGUGAUGUGAAACCCAAAUUUUAGCCCUGUUAGGCGCCAUAUAACCUGCACUGUUUGUUGCGCCGUUAAACACAAAUCAAGGUCAAAAUCAAAUAUUAUUUUACAUAUCUGCAAUGAGACAUGAAAUAAAAGAUCUUAAAAAUGUUUCUCUGCUUGGUACUUGGUAAGGUAUAUGAAGAAACAAAUAAAGAUCUCUUUAGGACACUCCGACAUGCAUAUACUUUUGUUUGGUUAGGAAUGAAAAUAUAUUCAAUACAUUUUAAACUUUGUCAAUAUGUCAUAUAAAGUUACAUGAUAUUAAUUAACAUGAACUUCUACUAAACUUAGAGCAUGGCGGAAACCGACAAAAGUUUUGACAUACAUUCAUUAUUAUGCUGAUGGUUUUAAAAGUUAAAGUUAAUUUCCAGCCAGGUCUAUUUGAUUUGCACAUAUAAAUAAAUGGACUUGACACAAACAUUCCUAAGUGAAGGAUAUGUGUACAGACGUUAUUCUACUAUGUAAUCCAGACGUUAAGCAAUACAGAAAACAGUUGACAUCUUUAAAUCUUAGUAAGGUCUAAUAAGCACAGCGUUUGCCGUGUUUAUAAGCAAUAUUUUAUUCAAAAUGAUAUUUCUUCUUUACUAUUUUGUUCUUACAUAAUCGAAGUAUUUUGAAGAUGCGAGGGAUGGUUUGCUUCGUUAUUUUCAAAUUUGUCUCUGUGUACUGUUUUAUCUUUUGUCUUUUACAGAUGUCUAUGCAUAUUAAUAUAAAGAAGACAAAAGAGAAAUGCUUUGUGGGACUGGAGCAGAAAAUUACAAUCUGCUGCAGUUAUAAGAUUAAAAUGUUGGAACGGUGGUUAUUUUUCAGAACUAAUAGAAAUUUAUUAUGAAACUUUUACUUUCUUGUAAAUCUGAGGGGAUUGCAAUAAAUCUAAUUAUACGUAUCUACUUCUCUGUUUCGUGUUAGGAAACUGUCUUUACUUUUAUUGUUUUGACAGUAGGAACAAAGUUUGGUUGAUUAACUGUCAUCGAAGAGCUAAUAUCAGCGUUUAUGGUAUUUCAUGAUUUGCAUAUUGUCUAUAUUUCUUACAUAAAACGUUUGUGUUACACUUUGCUACUUCUAUAUCACCAUUAAAAUUUGCAUUUCAAACGGUGAUGUAUUUCAUAAAUUUAGCAGAUAUCACAUAACGAUGAAUUAACUAGAUCAUAACUUUCUUAACACAAACCUGCAAUUUUAUUUUUGUCUUUUUUAUUUUGGGAUAUAAAAGGAAAUUCCAUAAGUGGACAAGAAAACGUCUUUGUCAAAACCUUUUCUCGUAUUUAUAAUUUUCCAACACCAAUAUGUUUUCGUCUAAUCUUACGAAGUUUGAUUUUAAAUGUAUUCAGCACCAUUCUACAUCAUUUAUAAGAUAAAAAUCAUCUAAACGUUUAUGAAAUGAAAUCAUAACUUAAUAGCUCCUAUUGUUUCUAAUGCAAUUUGCGAGUAAAUACAUGGUAUCUUUACGAUGUUCAAACAUGGUAAAAUUGCUUUAUCUUGUAUGAGCCACAGCAGAACUUGUCUAUAAAGCUCUCAGCGGCAUAGGUUAAUAGGGUUUCUCUGUAAGCGCUGUGAUUGGCCAAUAGAUAGAAUUCUCUACGCGCGCUGUGAUACGCUUUUCUAAGAAUUUGUACAAAUAUGGACAUAAAAUGUUUAAAGAUAACACUUCAGAAACAGCUAUAAUAAAUGGUACAACAUUUUGUACUGUCAGAUCUGAAAGCGAUACGCGGGAAAUUGAUCUUUUUGGCGGAGAAAGUAGACACAUUAUCUUAAGUACCGCCUAUAUGUGGAUUCUUAAAAUGCAGAAAUGUGCGUUUUGAAUAGGAUUUCUCGUUUUGGUAAUAGUGAAAUCCCUAAAUGAAAAAUAUUAUAUGACAAUCGACUGCAUGUAUGUGAUAUAAGUUACAUAUUUUCUAAGAAAAACAUAUCCUAUGUCCAUGUUUAUGUAUACCAUAUUCCUGUAUAAUAUCUACAUUCUGAAAUCUUUUAAAAAAUCACGUGUCCAAAGAUAUAGAAUGAAACUGGUAUUUAUAUGUACAACACUAAACAAAGAAUAUUUGUGUAGUUCCGAACAUUUCUAAAUUUCUUAAAAUGUCUAAGUCUGAUAUUGCAGACUCUUUAAUAUCAUUAAAGAUACUCAUAAAAAACAAGCUUGUGUUUCUACCUUUUUGCAGCUAUAUACAAUGUACAUUUUUCUAAAUGAUUUCAAUAUAUCAGUAAUAUCACAUGAUUGCUAAUGUUGCUGCUACUUAAAAACUUCACCAUAUUUAGUCUAAUGUAACUGUGCCAUUGUUGGAUGCUAAAAUAUAUGUAUACUUUUGGAUAUCGUGGGCAUCCGUUUCAGCUUAAGGUAUUUCAUACACCGAUAUGCCACUAAAUCUGAAACUACUAAUGAAUUAAUAUACUUGCAAUGUCAAGCUGGUUUGUACAGUACCCGACUGAGGUGUAUUUUCUACUUUCAUAUUCAACAGAGUUAGUAAGGAGCUCUAAACACUAUAGUACAACCGAAGUAAUGUUCCAUAUAUUACAGCAGCAAACAAGAUUUAAAGAAACAGACUAAAACGACAUACAUGAGAAAAAGCGGUGCAUUGUUACUCUGAAGGCGCAUGUGCACGAAGACUAUCUAAAAUUUAGUGGCCAUAAAGAAAUGAUGCUAUUAGUAAAAUUAUAACAACUCGAAGGAAUGUCAUAUCCGCCCCUUCAAAGACGGCAAGAAAUAUUUCCGCCAUGUUUCAUUUAUUCUAAACUUGUAACAUGUUCAUCCAACUGUAUGUUAAUGUAAUAUUCACGAAUUAAAUAUUACGCUCUACCUUGUUCAUUUGAUAUGUUGAUGUUGCAUUAAGUCAUUAUUAAUUACCGUCUUUGACCGGCAAUUUAUUGCCGACUGAUAUAGUGGUAUAUUUUUCAAAUGCGUGAGCGUUUAUUUAAAUGCCCUUUGUUUAGAUGCAUCUGAAAAAAUGCAUGAACCAUAAAUUGUGCCUAAUGCGUUUAUGCAACGGGAAUAUUAAUGACACUUUUAAGAUUUUUUUCAUAUCCAAAAAGGAUCAAGCAAAAAUUUUGUCGAAAGGUUGCGCAAAAAUGUAGAGGAGUAUGUGUAUCUAUAUCGCUUGUCAGAUUACAUUGUACCUGUGCAAGCUACAUGGCUGUGUUUUGCAUGUCCCCAAAUAAUGAAGUGAAAAGCUUUACAACUUGAAAUAUAUAUUUCAUCUACGAUCGUUAUGAUAUUCAGUUACAUUUGGAACAUAUUUUUCUAUUUUUGUUUUGCAUGGUCGUAACAUACAACUGGAAAUCGAACUGUCAAUGUAUGAUUAAAUUCAAAACCUUCCAAGUAGCCAAAAUCUUCAAAGCAGUCCGACAUUUCCGUCAGAAUCUCUUGCAUUUUCUCCGAAGAUAUACAAUUUAAACUUCAGGCAUUAUAUAUAUUAUAUAUUUCAUUUUAUAUGAAUAUAUGCUAAAUAUAUGUGUAAACGGUUGACGUUUUUCAGUAUUGAUUUCUUUUAAUUAAUAUUAUACACGUAUUGAAUAGCUUGUCGGUUUGCUAUUUUAAUAAUGCCCCGAAAAAGCAAAAGAACAAAUUGUAGAUGUCAUGAUAUAUAUUUAUAUACCAAUGAUAAUUUCGAACGUUUCAUUUCUACAAGUUUAUAUUAAUUUACUUGCCAGCUACGAUAUUGUGACAGGGUAAAAAGAGUCCGUCAUAAAUAGGGUGAAAAUGUAGUUUAUGUAGAAUUUCACCGAUAAUCACUGAAAGAUUCAACUGAGAUAAAUACUGGGUGAUAUAUUUGAAACUAUUCAGUAUAAUUUAAACAUUAAAUGGUUAAUGUAUACAAUCAAUAACGGAAAGUGUAAAAGACCAUAUUACGAAAUGUUUGAACGAACGUUAGUAUAAAAUAUAUUGUAUUUAAAGAGAAUUAGUAUCAACUUGACCAGUCCCACUAAAAGUAUUACUAGAAUUUAGUAAUACCAAAAGUUCAAAUUACGAUGUAAGUCUAACAUUAUUUGUUUUUGUUCUGUCAAAACGCAUCAUUUGUUUUUGUUCUGUCAAAAAUGCAUAAAAUCUAAUAUCGUUGACAAAGUAUUAGUAACGUUGACUUGUGUUACGUAAGUAACCUAAUUUUAAUCAUUUUAAUCUUAUUAAUUUAUUGAUGAACGUGUAAAGGAUUUUCAGAACUAUUGCGUUAUACUUAGACACUGUUAUAAAACAGAUUUAAACAAAAACUUACUGAUCUUCCCCAAGCAAAUGAAAUGCAAAAUUGGUAUCAUUCCUAUUAAAUACAUGACGUAUCUCUUUUAAUCGCAGUAUAUCACUUCAAAUUUGCACAUUCACUUAUAAAUUUGCUUGCACAAUGAAUGUGUAGUAAUUGAUGCAGACAGGUGAGAAUUACCAGCAGCAGGUAGUUACGAAUGGUGAACAAAAUUGCGUUUUGCAGGUUUUGACAACGUUUGUCAACACUACGUUACCGUUCUAUUUCACAAAAGAAAAUGAGCGCGAGGCCAUUUGUCCAUUCAUCCAUUUUUGUUUUGCCAUUUAGAUUCGCAGAACAUGUUAGGACUGGUGUGGAAUAAACGAUUUCAGUGGUCAAUUUAGUCAUAACGUGUUUUGCGCAAGAAAGUCACGAAAAAGGUGGUUAUUGAAUGACUUUGCGCGUAUUUAUGCUGCUAAUUAGCCACGUGCAAUCUCCAGCUCUGGAUUUGCACUCGUGUGGCCUUUUUCUGAGAUAAACCAAAGGUGAUAAACGUAAAUAAUCAGAGCAUUUGGCAACACAAUUUUAAUCUGCGAGACAGCCAAUUAAAAGGUCAUGUGAUGGUUCAAAUAUAUGAAAUCGUUCUUUUGUUCACUUCUGUCGAGCAUCUGAAACAUAAAAUAAUAUUUUCAAUCAAAUUGCCAAAUUAGUUUUACACGAACCUACCUUAAGGCGAGCACAUACAUCAACAUAUUAGAUAUUAAUUGCAGACUACAAAAAAACAGACAUUUAUGAAAUGUUACAGUAUUUUAUAAACUUAACAAAUUACCGGUGUCAUAAAAUAACAACGUUUUAUGGCAUGCAAUUAGUUAUUUGACCCCUUACACACCUGCACUGCAUUUAAUUAAGUCAUUAUAUGUCUUUCUUCAACAUUUUCAGAUAUUUCACAGUUUUCAUGAAAAAGACACCUUUAAGUGCUUGCCUAUCACCAAGAUUAAACUAACUUGCCUGUACCUGACUAGUUUCUUUUUGUAAUUAAAUUAACGUUUAGAUCUUUUGAUAGUUAUCAUAUUAUGUAUAUACUUUUGGUGGUUGACAAAUAUUACCACACUGUUUAUGAGAUGCUUGUGAGUUUUGUUUUAGCAAUCAGUCUGUACAAAUUUGUUGUGACGCACCAGUUGGUUGGAUUAGUAAAAACUACCCAUAGAAUUCCUGUCUUCAGCUUAUACAUAAAUCAUUUAUUAAGACCGAAGCCAGUAUUAGAGCCCAUUUUCUCGCAUCAGUAUCCCUCACAUCAAGCUUGGAGCGAUCAGUACAACAACAGGUGUAAAAUCUAUUUACUAUUGUUAGCUGAAAUAGAAAAAGAACAUAAGUGCAAAAUACAAAUAGUUAUUUAUCAAAUAUAAUAGGUGCUGAAAAUUCCUACGUAUGUCAAGAGUGAGUGCUAUGCUGUGACAUAUUUCUCAUAGGUAUAACGUUCUUCAAACAGUCCAAAGGUUUUUUCGACCGAUAUAAGACUUAUUAUAAAAUGCCCUUGCAGUCAUUAAAUUCUUUUUCUCGUCAUCGCGAAAUUUUGAGGCCGUUUAAAUUUUACAACCUACCUUGGCAAAAUAAAUUAUUUUGCAAGGCCUAUACAGAUCGGAAUUAAGUGACAUUCAGGCUAGACAUCAGUUAUGUUUAUAAAAAAAAUCGUGUUAAAAGGGCAGACAGAAAGAGCCUUUUUUCAAUGAAUAGGUUACUUGAGGUGACAACCUUUUCUUUCAAUCCAGGUUUCAUCCGUUUAGCGCCAAGUGGCAAUUUUUGUGUACACUAACCUCACAUUUAAUCACUAAUGAUACAUCGAGUGUUUUACCAUAUUUGUUUUGAAAAUACUUAGUCCAAGCAACCAGCUCAAAUUGCAUACGUCACACUGUGUAUACAAAUCGUUUGACCUUAGGCCGUUUCAAACAAGUAUUUAACAAAAAGGUGUUAAGCCAAGACGUUCACACGAUUAGCUUUGGUUUCAAGUAUCACACAUUAUCUCCCUUUUGAAUACGAAAUAAGAUGUACAAGAACACGAGGAUAUUGUAUUUGAUUUUUUACAGAGCUGUAGUAGAAAAUAAUGAACAGCUAUAGCAGAGAUGAAAAUAAGCUGACACGAGCCAUAUCGCAAAUACAUAACUAAAAAUCUGUUGUUUUUUUUUCCAAAAUAAGAGUUUAGUAUUUUACUUCUAGCUAUUGUCAUCUGGGUCAUCUCCCCAGGCAUUUUUUCUACAUGUAGUAAAAUGUACGCUUUCCCUGUAAUGACUUUUAUAAUAUAAGUCCAAAUUACCAUGCAAAACCAGAGUCGUAUGGAGUUACUGCAAUUGUCUGUUGUGGUGAGGACUUUAAAUAAAGAUAUAUAUGUAUUUUCAUAACUUGUUAUCAAAGAGGAAUC